Molecule: ribosomal RNA, 275 nt
Filed under: uncultured bacterium
Lineage: Bacteria
Description: partial 16S ribosomal RNA
Rfam family: Bacterial small subunit ribosomal RNA
Source: RNAcentral
CCUACGGGUGGCUGCAGUAGGGAAUAUUGGUCAAUGGACGGAAGUCUGAACCAGCCAUUCCGCGUGCAGGAAGAAGGUCCUAUGGACUGUAAACUGCUUUUAGCAGAGAAGAAACGCCUUCAUUUAUGAGGGUCUGACGGUAUCUGCGGAAUAAGCACCGGCUAACUCCGUGCCAGCAGCCGCGGUAAUACGGGGGGUGCAAGCGUUAUCCGGAAUCACUGGGUUUAAAGGGUGCGUAGGCGGGACAUUAAGUCAGUGGUGAAAGUCUGUUGCUU